AGCAUCUUCGGGUGUGGAUGAGUGGCGAACGGGUGAGUAACACGUGGGUAAUCUGCCCUGCACUCUGGGAUAAGCCUUGGAAACGGGGUCUAAUACCGGAUACGACACUGAAUCGCAUGGUUUGGUGUGGAAAGUUCUGGCGGUGCAGGAUGAGCCCGCGGCCUAUCAGCUUGUUGGUGGGGUAGUGGCCUACCAAGGCGACGACGGGUAGCCGGCCUGAGAGGGUGACCGGCCACACUGGGACUGAGACACGGCCCAGACUCCUACGGGAGGCAGCAGUGGGGAAUAUUGCGCAAUGGGCGAAAGCCUGACGCAGCAACGCCGCGUGGGGGAUGACGGCCUUCGGGUUGUAAACCUCUUUCGACAGGGACGAAGCUUUCGGGUGACGGUACCUGUAGAAGAAGCACCGGCUAACUACGUGCCAGCAGCCGCGGUAAUACGUAGGGUGCGAGCGUUGUCCGGAUUUAUUGGGCGUAAAGAGCUCGUAGGCGGUUUGUCGCGUCUAUCGUGAAAACCAGGAGCUUAACUUCUGGCUUGCGGUGGAUACGGGCAGACUUGAGUUCGGUAGGGGAGACUGGAAUUCCUGGUGUAGCGGUGAAAU
Molecule: ribosomal RNA, 601 nt
Filed under: Saccharopolyspora sp. YIM M11332
Lineage: Bacteria; Bacillati; Actinomycetota; Actinomycetes; Pseudonocardiales; Pseudonocardiaceae
Description: bacterial SSU rRNA
Rfam family: Bacterial small subunit ribosomal RNA
Source: RNAcentral